ACACUGACGACAUGGUUCUACAAUCAACUUUCGAUGGUAGGAUAGAGGCCUACCAUGGUGGUAACGGGUAAUGGGGUGUUAGGGCACGACACCGGAGAGGGAGCCUGAGAAACGGCUACCACAUCCAAGGAUGGCAGCAGGCGCGCAAAUUACCCAAUCCCGACACGGGGAGGUAGUGACAAUAAAUAACAAUACAGGGUUCUUUCGGAUCUUGUAAUUGGAAUGAGUACAAUUUAAAUCUCUUAACGAGGAACAAUUGGAGGGCAAGUCUGGUGCCAGCAGCCGCGGUAAUUCCAGUUCCAAUAGCGUAUAUUAAAGUUGUUGCAGUUAAAAGGCUCGUAGUUGAAUUUCAGGCCUGGCUGUACGGUCCGCCCUUCGGGUGAGUACUGUCUGUGGUCGGGUCCUACCUUCUGGCGAAGCGUCAUGGCCUUAACCGGCCGUGGCGGGGAACAGGACUUUUACUGUGAAAAAAUUAGAGUGUUCAAAGCAGGCAAUCGCUUGGAUACAUUAGCAUGGAAUAAUGGAAUAGGACAAUGGUCCUAUUUGUUGGUUUCUAGGACCGUUGUAACGAUUAAUAGGGAUAGUUGGGGGUAUUAGUAUUCAAUUGUCAGAGGUGAAAUUCUUGGAUUUAUUGAAGACUAACUACUGCGAAAGCAUUUGCCAAGGAUGUUUUCAUUAAUCGAGAACGAAAAGUUAGGGGAUCGAAGACGAUCAGAUACCGUCGUAGUUCUUAACCAUAAACUAUGCCGACAAGGAAUCGGGCGAUGUUGACAAAUGACGCGCUCGGCACCUCAUGGGAAACCAAAGUGUUUGGGUUCAGACCAAG
This 826-nucleotide ribosomal RNA is filed under the name uncultured Paraglomus. RNAcentral describes it as "bacterial SSU rRNA". It matches the Rfam family "Eukaryotic small subunit ribosomal RNA", at positions 292 to 1116 of the family's 1831-position model. The record is from RNAcentral. Lineage: Eukaryota; Fungi; Glomeromycota; Glomeromycetes; Paraglomerales; Paraglomeraceae.